CUGAUGGGCAACGAAGGCCCUCGUCUAUGAAUAUUUUUACAAACGCUCAAAGUAUGACAGAAUGUAUAUCAUAUUGCGUCUGAUAAACGUGACAAAUACAACUUUCCACAACGGAUCUCUUGGCUCUCGCAUCGAUGAAGAACGCAGCGAAAUGCGAUAAGUAAUGUGAAUUGCAGAAUUCAGUGAAUCAUCGAAUCUUUGAACGCACCUUGCGCUCCUUGGUAUUCCGAGGAGCAUGCCUGUUUGAGUGUCAUGAAAUUCUCAACUGCCCCAGGCUUUGUGGCCUGCGGGUGAAGUUGGACUUGGAGGUAUGCUGGCGCAUGAAUGGGCUUUUGUGCCCCGUCUCGCUUGUUGGCUCCUCUCGAAUGCAUGAGCUUUCCAAUCCUUGGCAAAGUAUCGUCGAUGUGAUAAUUGUCUACGUCGCCUGAGAAAGCCGAAAAGGGGAAAUCUUUGAUCACGCUGGGGUGACCUGCGUCUGACAAAUUCGACCUCAAAUCAGGUAGGACUACCCGCUGAACUUAAGCAUAUCAAUAAGCGGAGGAAAAGAAACUAACAAGGAUUCCCCUAGUAACUGCGAGUGAAGCGGGAAAAGCUCAAAUUUAAAAUCUGGCGGCCUCCGGU
RNAcentral lists this ribosomal RNA (621 nucleotides) under uncultured fungus. Its description in RNAcentral is "eukaryotic LSU rRNA". The stretch from base 100 to 253 matches the Rfam family "5.8S ribosomal RNA". Lineage: Eukaryota; Fungi. The record is from RNAcentral.